AACGAACGCUGGCGGCAUGCCUAACACAUGCAAGUCGAACGAGACCUUCGGGUCUAGUGGCGCACGGGUGCGUAACGCGUGGGAACCUGCCCUUAGGUUCGGAAUAACUCCCCGAAAGGGGUGCUAAUACCGGAUAAUGUCUUCGGACCAAAGAUUUAUCGCCUUUGGAUGGGCCCGCGUUGGAUUAGCUAGUUGGUAGGGUAAAAGCCUACCAAGGCGACGAUCCAUAGCUGGUCUGAGAGGAUGAUCAGCCACACUGGGACUGAGACACGGCCCAGACUCCUACGGGAGGAAGCAGUGGGGAAUAUUGGACAAGGGGCGAAAGCCUGAUCCAGCAAUGCCGGGUGAGUGAUGAAGGCCUUAGGGUUGUAAAGCUCUUUUACCCGGGAUGAUAAUGACAGUACCGGGAGAAUAAGCCCCGGCUAACUCCGUG
RNAcentral lists this ribosomal RNA (433 nucleotides) under uncultured bacterium. RNAcentral describes it as "partial 16S ribosomal RNA". It matches the Rfam family "Bacterial small subunit ribosomal RNA", at positions 29 to 507 of the family's 1533-position model. The record is from RNAcentral.